AUACCUUCAAUAUUAUUGUAUCACUAUUCUCACUGUCGAGCAAUAUGAAAUCUAUUUUGCAUCCAUUUAUGUGUAGUAAUGGCUCUAGAUUGGAAAGAGGUCCAAUUAUUGUAUAAUCUAAAUACAAAGUAGACCUGGGCCUCCUAGAAAGGCCUAGACCACUUGUUAUUUCCGCUAUCGAGUAGGAGUGAGUCCAGUGAGCGAAAUAUCGGCCGGCAUGAUUUUUAAAUUUCCGGGGUCAGAGAAAAUAAAAAUAAAUUAGUGCUCACUACCCCCCACUUUAUAGCGAAAUAUCUACCGGCACGAUGCUCAAAUUUCAGCAUACUACUACUUCAAAUUGAUUUCAAAUUUGGGCCUACCCCCUAAGAAAUCCUGGAUCCGCGCCUGUAAUCAACAUCAUUUAUCUACCAAGUGCUAAAAGGUAUUUCUGCUUUUACAAAUUUUUCCAAUGAUAAAUGUAUGUGUGUGUAGCCACCCAAAGAGACCCAUGGCUUGACAUCCUGUCCGAAGGGUUGCAGGGAUAAGCCUCGUUCACAAAUUCCAUUACGAACUGCUACGAACGCCGUAUGAACGAUUUUCAGACAAUGGAAAUUCGGGAAGACAAUGGAAAAACGGAGAUUCAUACAAAUGCAUUGUCCAUAACUUCAAACAAACCUUUGUGACCGUAGCUUAAAUAUCGGUGUAACUGAAGAGAGGGAAAAACUCUACCAAAGUACUUUUGUAUCGUACGUACUGACAAGAUGUGGGAUGUAACGACACUGAUUUGUCGUUCCCCAGAAUUACUCAUGCAAUUCUCUCUGUUAUUUAUGGCAUGCACGGCUACCCAACUCAAUAUGUACAUGUGUAUACGAAGAUAUGACUUUGUCGAUGCAAUUGUUGUCAUUAUUGUAUUGAGACUUCAAACACUGUUUAUUUUAUACAAGUAAAUGUUCUUGCUUCCAUGACAUUCAUGGAAGUCUCAAGACCGAAAUAUUUGA
This is a long non-coding RNA of Strongylocentrotus purpuratus (purple sea urchin), 977 nucleotides long. RefSeq lists it as uncharacterized. The record is from RefSeq and is a predicted model, not a curated record. Lineage: Eukaryota; Metazoa; Echinodermata; Echinoidea; Camarodonta; Strongylocentrotidae. The transcript is spliced from 2 exons.